GGAUUGGAUCACCGACCUCUCCCAAGAGGGGCCUGGCUUCCUCCUCGCUGGGGAAACGGUAGGGAGCUCCCCUAGGUAAAGCCUCUAGGGAGAGUGGCCAGGAGCCGGGUCAGGAAAGGCUCUGGUGCCCAAAGGGCUGCCCGCAGAGGCUGAGGUCCCUGCAAGUGCACAGGGAGGAGAGGUGAGAUCAGAUUCCAGCCGAGUCAGGCUUCCAUGUCAGACUGCGUGUGUUUAUGCAGAGGUGCAACUCAGGAAUUACUGAGGAGAAAGUACAGGGCCAAUUUAACCUCCUCUGAGAGACCUCUAACCCUGCUCAUCACCACUCCUCGCUAAAAAGGGCCCUCUCCAGGGAAGAACCCAGAGGGAGAGCGGGAAUUCUCCUCCCCUUGGAGGAAGAGUGCUUCCUCUACCCUUAAUGUAUCAACUGACAACAAUUCAAACAGAAGGAAACUAGGAUGUGACAAAUAAAGGAAGCCUUUUCAUGCUCUAUGUCCACUGGCGUCGGGCAAGCCCCGGUGGAAGUCCAAGGAAAAGAGUCUAAGACCCAAACAGAUGGUUUGCGCCAAAGUUCUGAAGUGUAUCAGACGUGAAUAAAGGUCUUAGGUCUAGUGGAAGCUGCUUCGGAGCCAUGGAGAAAAGGCAGCCUGCGCUGAUUGACCAUGAGCCUAAGUACACUGCAUGAACCUUUGGAAGUACCUCUUCUAUGUCUGCCUGAAAGUCUUUGAAAUCGGUGUGUAUGUUACACCUACAACACAUCCCACACUGGAGGAGCCACCCUCCCAGGGCGAGACAGCAACACAGGCCUCCUGGCCACCCACACAGAGAAUAGAUACAUGAACUUCGGUACAUUGAUGCGGCAGAAUAAGACGGUGUACAGCAGUGACACCAAAGGAACCAUGGCUACAGGUAGCAGCAGCUGAACCUCACAAGUAAAACCGAGAGACUGCAAAGGACUGUAGACUGCAUGAUGUUACAUGUCUGUAACAUUCAAAAGGAAGGCAACACCGUUGUACUUAGUGAUGUUGAGCUAAGCCUCUGCAGAAAGGCGAAGCUGUGAUUGCACUGCAGCCCGUAGCAUAGUGAACUUUGCAACGCAGGGAAGGGCAUACAAAGCGCAGGCCUUUGGGAGUUCUGGCCGUUCUGUGUACUGACCUGGGUGUGGUCACAUUUCUUGAUAAACAAUUGAGGAGC
This is a long non-coding RNA of Homo sapiens (human), 1191 nucleotides long. The record is from Ensembl. Lineage: Eukaryota; Metazoa; Chordata; Mammalia; Primates; Hominidae.